CAACUAUGAUUCACAUUGUGAUCUCGGUGGCAUUAAAUCUCUUCCCUCGACAGUGCAUGUCUUCAGCCUUCAACUAAACAGAGAGCAGCAUCCCAGGUAUUUGCCAUGGCUGCAGCAUGCUCCAGCUGGCUCAGAUCCUGAAGUGCUACCCUUUUGGACUUCAGACCGGCAUGAGCAUUCAGUGAUUCAACCAUAUUUGACUGUAUCUUAAUUGAAACAAAGUGACCAUUAAUCUCAUCAGGAAAAACCAAAUGCAACACAGGCAAGGUUGAUUAUGCAACAAACAAUCUGAAGAAAAAUGGAUGGUUAAAAAAGAGCAGACUAAAACUAGACUUCUAAAUGAGAUUUGCAGUGGUGUUGAGCACUUCUAAUCUGUAUUUGCACACAGCAAAAACAGCAGUGUGUGAAUCAAAGGAAGAGUAGAAGGAGAGGAUGAAACGAAGUGAGAGUCUCAAGCAGGAACAAAGAACUGAAGAUUUCAUUAGUGAUUAGUGGUCUCACUAUUUUGCUUUUCUGAGGAUAAAAAGAGGACUCUUGGAACAGAGCGGGCAGGGUACAAGUCCUCUAAAGCACUGUUCUGAAUGUUUGGCACAGUUCAACUAUUGUAAAAUCACCAUGUACAGGUAACAAUAAAGUUAUAAUAAAAUAAG
Long non-coding RNA from Passer domesticus (house sparrow), 650 nucleotides. RefSeq lists it as uncharacterized. The record is from RefSeq and is a predicted model, not a curated record. The transcript has 5 exons. Lineage: Eukaryota; Metazoa; Chordata; Aves; Passeriformes; Passeridae.